This 337-nucleotide long non-coding RNA is filed under the name Amborella trichopoda. RNAcentral's name for it is "long non-coding RNA (ATRI_LNC001175)". The record is from RNAcentral. Lineage: Eukaryota; Viridiplantae; Streptophyta; Magnoliopsida; Amborellales; Amborellaceae.
AAUGAUCCUGUCAGCCAAUGGGCUCACAAGAAAAAAUGAGUCCAACGGCCUAGAUUGAUCUAACGAUCACAGAUGUCUUGUAAUGUUUGAAUUUUAAAAAUUUUUCUACAAAUCCAAAUCACUUGAAAUUUUAGGCGUGUGUUCUUCUCAUCAAGCCGUACCUAAUAAAAAUAUAAAAAAAAAAUCCGCUAAAACAAAAUUGAUCAAACUACUCCCGAAACUUUAUGGGGUAUUUUGGUCAAUUUUUUUAAUAUUUUUCGAAUAUUCACCUAUUUUUUAUGAACAUACAUCUAAAAUUUGAAGUGAUUUGGAUUUGUAAAAAAAAAAUUAAAAUGGC